RNAcentral lists this transfer RNA (130 nucleotides) under Lactiplantibacillus plantarum. RNAcentral describes it as "tRNA-Ile". It matches the Rfam family "tRNA". Rfam says of the family: Transfer RNA (tRNA) molecules are approximately 80 nucleotides in length. Their secondary structure includes four short double-helical elements and three loops (D, anti-codon, and T loops). The record is from RNAcentral. Lineage: Bacteria; Bacillati; Bacillota; Bacilli; Lactobacillales; Lactobacillaceae.
GUCCCUAUAGCUCAGUAGAUUAACAGCGUGUUCUAUGCUUGCCAGUGUAGAAUAUCCGGUAACGGGUUAAUUGGGUCAGAGCGCUUGCCUGAUAAGCAAGAGGUCGCCGGUUCGAAUCCGGUUAGGGGCG